AUCGCGGGUGCAUUUCACGUGACGCGAUUCGCAAUAUGUACAAAAACAAUAAGUGCGCGACAUCGCGACUUAUUUAAAUAAACUCCAUAAAUCUUAAAAACUGAUUGAAUAAUUAAAAGCAGUAUAGAAGCAUUAAAUGCACAAUAGGUUUUAAAGUAUGUAUUAGAUCAAAUAAUUAGGCCAAUUAUUGAUAGUUGAGCGUGCUAAAACCACGGAAUCCGGAAAUUCCUAACACCUUCUAUCGGGUUAACAGAGUUCCUUAACCGGUCUUCUGGUUUUGCGGACUUUAAAAUAGAGUCAAAUUUCCUCGAUUUGGGAUUUAAAAUAAUCUGGUGACUUGGGACACCAUCAUAAUUAUUUCAAGUGGCGACUCUAAAUUAAAUAAAUAAUCUCAUUUCGAAUAAUAUCACUUUAUCCCCUCGGGAAAAAGGAGGUGUGACAAUGGAUAUAACUAAUACUGAUAAUUUCACACAACUAUAUUUAUAGGUACUCUAAAAAAUUACAUGGUGAUACAAAUAGUACAUUGAAUGCAGAUUAUAGCAGAACAAUAAUCGAAUAAGAAAGCAAAGAAAUGAGGCUGAACAACUUAAGAAACAACAGCAAUCUCCAACUUGAAAUACCGAGAAAUCAAUAAAAAAAAAUCCAGAAUAAUCAGUAAAAUCAUUGACUCAUACUCAAACAAUCACCAUCUAUCACUAGCUUUUAUUGGAAUUUCAGAAAUCUUCAGGAAAGAAAUGUGUUUAGAUUAAUGAUUUCUAUAACUCUUUCUCAGAGAAAAAAAAAGUAUUUUUAUCGUCUCUAAAAUCUCUCCAAGUUAAUCUUUAAACUGCCUCUUAAAAAGGAAAUGCAGACUUUAUAUAGAGUUUAGUCUUGGGUUUUCCCUUAAUUCACUACUUUCCCCUUUUUACCCCUCUGCCAACAGAUCCUAUGCCUUUAACCAGUGACAAUAACUCCACCCUCUCUUAGCACCUUCUUAGUAGUUACUCAACAACAAUAACUACAAUAACAACCCAGUAAAAUCCCACAUGUGAGAGGUCUGGGGAGGAUAUUGUGUACGCAUACUUUAUCCCUAUCUCGAUAGAGUAGAGAGGCUGUUUCCAAUAGACCCUCAGCUCAAGAAAACGAACAAGACAAAAAGAUACAAUAUAUUAGUACCAUCGACAGAAAUCACAGAAAUAAUAACAGCAUCAUAAGAACCAGAAAAUAGAUGAGACGCAAUAAUAAUAACCAAUAAAUAAGGCCCGGUGCCAUAAAAAAUGGACGAAUAGAGUGAACGCAACAUUAACCUCUAGCAGUCUAAGACAAACCCUAUCAGACUAACCACAUCCGGUACGAAGAAGAAAAAUGCUCAACUACCUCCUCCUAACCUACAAUCCUAAUGCUCGACUUCCACACCUUCCUAUCAAGGGUCAUGUCCUCGAAAAUCUGAAACUUCGCCAUGUCCUUUCUGAUCGCAUCUCCCCAGUACUUCUUAGGUCGCCCUUUACCUCUUCUCGUACUCGCCAAAGCCAACCGCUCACACCUUCUUACCAGGUAUCAGGGCUUCUUCUCCGUAUAUGCCCGAACCAUCUGAGCCUCGCUUUCUGCAUCUUAUCAUCUAUAGGAGUCACGCCCACCUUCUCCUGAAUAUCUUCAUUACUAAUCUUAUCAGUCCUAGUGUGCCCACACGUCCACCUCAAUAUCCUCAUUUCUGUUACUCUCAUCUUCUAUAUAUGUAAGUUCUUAACUGGCCAACACUCUACCCUAUACAACAUGGCUGGUCUAACCACUACUCUAUAAAACUUACCUUUGAGUAUCGAUGGCACUUUCUUGUUACAUAAGACUCCGGAUGCUGACCUCCAUUUCAUCUAUCCCACUCAUAUACGAUGUGUGAUCUCCUCGUCGAUCUCCCAGUUCUCCUGGAUAACCGACCCAAGGUACUUGAAACUGCCUCUCUUGGGGAUGACCUGCAAUCCAAGCCUCAUGUGCAUGCCCGGUUCCAUCAACUCGGCAUUGAACUUGCACUCUAUUGUGUGAAACUUUAUGGGCAUUUAAUAUUGAGCUUGUUUGAGAUUGGAUUAGUUAUUAUUUAACCAUUUUUAUAAUGUGAACUAGUGGUUGCAAAUAUUGAUUCAUUCCCUUGUGAUUUGACUCAUACUUGAGAAAGAGGAGUUGAAAUUUAGCAAUUUUGCUAACAAAGAAUUAGAUUAAUUGAGAGUUUGAUUAGAUCUAAUUAAAGAGAGUGAGUUAGAGAUAGGGAUCUCUUGACUAGGAUACAACAACACCUAAGCUUAAUGCAAUUCUAUUGACUCGAGAGAGCAUUUAAUUAGUCCACUUAAUAAUUGAGAAGCAUCAAGAGAGUAAAUUAGAGUGUGUAUCAUAAUAUUUCCAAUCACCCAAUCAAGCUCAGUAGAUAAUAUCCAUCUAGUGAAACACCUAGGUAAAGAAUAAAACUCUAGGUUUGUCAUUCUCUUAGUUAAUUCUCGCUUGUUACGUGUUUGUUGAAUUGCCUCUUACGAUAAUAGUUAAUGAAAUCCAUGGAUUAAUUAACUCAUACUUUUGGUUGAAAGCUAAUUAAAGAUAUGAUAAGUCUCGUUCUUAGGCAUCUAUCUUAAUAACUAUAUAAACUCUUUGUAGAUCGAUCCCGACUCUUACUUUGAGUUACUAUUGUAACGAUUGUUUUACUUCUCUUUUGGAGGUGUGUUUUGUAGCCAUCUUUGUAACUAAUGUCGAAUCUCUUCUUAUUUAGGAUUGACCAUUUCUUUGUUUCUAUCCGUACAUACGAGACUUUACGGUAAAACUUCUCUUGUUGACUCCUCAGUUGGAAUUGAUAUCAAUAAUUUUGACUCAUUUGACCUUGAAUUAAUUCUUCAGACAGCCCUCCAAUCCAUUGAUAGUUUUCAUAUAUGCAAUUUGGCAGUCUGCCAUGUGUAAAUAUUUAAUUUGUCCAUUUGGUAGGUUCACUUUUUACCUAUACAACUUUUUCAACCUAGUUUCUUUGCCGAUCCACUUUAUAAACUCUAAAACCAUUCCCCAUAAAUACUUUUUUCUAUUGUCAACCAUAUUUAUUCCCGAAGAAUUGUUGUUUCUUCUUCACAAGAAAACUCAAAAAGUAUACAAGGAAAUAUCUAGAAGAAUAGUCAAUGCACGGUGUUGGGCUAAAGAAGGAGAAAAUAUAUGUUUAUGAAUUUGAUGCAGAAAAGGGUGUUGGCCGUGGGAUGAGAUAUAGGUCAACAUUGAAGAAUAUAGUUUUUUUUUUUUUUUGGCAAGUUGGAAAAAUAAUAUGGGCACUAUUUUAAAAACAAACAUGCAUCUUGUAAUGUUGAAGAAAUGAAUUAGGAAAGUAGGUAGAUAUUCCUAUAUGUGGACCUUAUUUCUAUAUUGAGGGUUGUAUCAUAAGUGGACCAGACUAAGCUUUGGGGCUCAAUUGGUCUUACAAUUACUGGGCCAACGGAGAUAGAAUAGAGCAGGCCCAUUUACAAAUAGCCCAAUUAAUAAUUCAGCUUAAGUGAGGAGUAUUAAUACGCAGAAGAAGGAAGGAAGAAUGAGACUAAUUCUGGUAUAACAAUGGCGUCAAUGUAGUUCGAUUAUAGAAAUACAUCGUAACAAUCUCAAUUCUAUUACAAAUCAAUAAAGAAAUCCUAUUCUUUCCAUUAUUUCUUUCAAAUUCUAGUAUAUUACAAUUGGUAUCAGAGUUGAAUCCUGGUACCAUGACAGCACCAGAAACUCAAGCCAAAUCCACAGAAGAAAAUGUCAAAAACUGGAGACCCAGUUACACAAUUACAUGGCAGAAACAAAUAAGAAAUUGGAAUCCACUGAUUCCAAAAUGGAUGAUCUAAAUCACAAAUUUGACAUCAUGAUGGAUAAGUUGUUCGUGAGCAAGGAUGGAAUCCUUGGUAGUGCUCCAGUUGAGGCUCACCAAAUGGAUGGAUCGAGCAGCAAAAUGAGGAUGAUGGAACCACAGGAGAAUUCUUCUAGACUCAAACAGUGUUGCUGCUAAAGUGGAUUGCCCUUACUUUGAAGAGGGAGAUCCCAGAUCUUGGCUG
Non-coding RNA from Nicotiana tabacum (common tobacco), 4025 nucleotides. NCBI's taxonomy places the organism in Eukaryota, Viridiplantae, Streptophyta, Magnoliopsida, Solanales, Solanaceae. The record is from RefSeq and is a predicted model, not a curated record.